ACCCGCUGAACUUAAGCAUAUCAAUAAGCGGAGGAAAAGAAACCAACAGGGAUUUGCCCCUAGUAACGGCGAGUGAAGCGGCAACAGCUCAAAUUUGAAAUCUGGCUCUUUUAGAGUCCGAGUUGUAAUUUGCAGAGGGCGCUUUGGCUUUGGCAGCGGUCCAAGUUCCUUGGAACAGGACGUCACAGAGGGUGAGAAUCCCGUACGUGGUCGCUGGCUAUUGCCGUGUAAAGCCCCUUCGACGAGUCGAGUUGUUUGGGAAUGCAGCUCUAAAUGGGAGGUACAUUUCUUCUAAAGCUAAAUAUUGGCCAGAGACCGAUAGCGCACAAGUAGAGUGAUCGAAAGAUGAAAAGCACUUUGGAAAGAGAGUCAAACAGCACGUGAAAUUGUUGAAAGGGAAGCGCUUGCAGCCAGACUUGCUUACAGUUGCUCAUCCGGGCUUUUGCCCGGUGCACUCUUCUGUAGGCAGGCCAGCAUCAGUUCGGGCGGUAGGAUAAAGGUCUCUGUCACGUACCUCCUCUCGGGGAGGCCUUAUAGGGGAGACGACAUACUACCAGCCUGGACUGAGGUCCGCGCAUCUGCUAGGAUGCUGGCGUAAUGGCUGU
Molecule: ribosomal RNA, 605 nt
Filed under: uncultured fungus
Lineage: Eukaryota; Fungi
Description: eukaryotic LSU rRNA
Rfam family: Eukaryotic large subunit ribosomal RNA
Source: RNAcentral